RNAcentral lists this ribosomal RNA (468 nucleotides) under uncultured bacterium. RNAcentral's name for it is "partial 16S ribosomal RNA". It matches the Rfam family "Bacterial small subunit ribosomal RNA", at positions 28 to 507 of the family's 1533-position model. The record is from RNAcentral.
GACGAACGCUGGCGGCGUGCUUAACACAUGCAAGUCGAACGGAAAGGCCCUGCUUUUGUGGGGUGCUCGAGUGGCGAACGGGUGAGUAACACGUGAGUAACCUGCCCUUGACUUUGGGAUAACUUCAGGAAACUGGGGCUAAUACCGGAUAUGAGCUCCUGCUGCAUGGUGGGGGUUGGAAAGUUUCGGUGGUUGGGGAUGGACUCGCGGCUUAUCAGCUUGUUGGUGGGGUAGUGGCUUACCAAGGCUUUGACGGGUAGCCGGCCUGAGAGGGUGACCGGCCACAUUGGGACUGAGAUACGGCCCAGACUCCUACGGGAGGCAGCAGUGGGGAAUAUUGCACAAUGGGCGGAAGCCUGAUGCAGCAACGCCGCGUGCGGGAUGACGGCCUUCGGGUUGUAAACCGCUUUCGCCUGUGACGAAGCGUGAGUGACGGUAAUGGGUAAAGAAGCACCGGCUAACUACGUG